RNAcentral lists this small nucleolar RNA (106 nucleotides) under Lupinus albus (white lupine). RNAcentral describes it as "Plant small nucleolar RNA R71". It matches the Rfam family "Plant small nucleolar RNA R71". From Rfam's summary of the family: R71 is a member of the C/D box family of snoRNAs containing the C (UGAUGA) and D (CUGA) box motifs. Multiple nearly identical copies of this snoRNA have been identified in Arabidopsis, and it is thought to function as a 2'-O-ribose methylation guide for 18S ribosomal RNA. The record is from Rfam by way of RNAcentral. Lineage: Eukaryota; Viridiplantae; Streptophyta; Magnoliopsida; Fabales; Fabaceae.
AAACCAUGAUUAGGACAUUUCCUCAGCAACACUUGAAAACGUUCCCAAGCUUCAUAGAAAGCUUCAUCCACACCUUGUCGGAAAGUUGAUAUCUCAAACUUUGCAU